This 204-nucleotide unclassified non-coding RNA is filed under the name uncultured Tricholoma. RNAcentral describes it as "sequence contains ITS2". Lineage: Eukaryota; Fungi; Basidiomycota; Agaricomycetes; Agaricales; Tricholomataceae. The record is from RNAcentral.
AAUUCUCAACCUUUUCAGCUUUCUUUGUUGAUCAGGCUUGGAUGUGGGAGUAUGCGGGCUUCUCAGAAGUCGGCUCUCCUGAAAUGCAUUAGCGGGACCUUUGUUGCCUGGCUUUGGUGUGAUAAUUAUCUACGCCAUUGUGGUCAAGCAGCUUAAAAUGAGGUUUCAGCUUCUAACCGUCUCCCCUGAGACAACUUUUUGACA